This 87-nucleotide transfer RNA is filed under the name Phycisphaerales bacterium. RNAcentral describes it as "tRNA-Ser". It matches the Rfam family "tRNA". From Rfam's summary of the family: Transfer RNA (tRNA) molecules are approximately 80 nucleotides in length. The record is from RNAcentral. Lineage: Bacteria; Pseudomonadati; Planctomycetota; Phycisphaerae; Phycisphaerales.
GGUGGGGUGGCCGAGCGGCUGAUGGCACCGGUCUUGAAAACCGGUGUACCCGCAAGGGUACCGCGGGUUCGAAUCCCGCCCCCACCG